UACGGGGGGAGCAAGCGUUGUUCGGAUUUACUGGGCGUAAAGGGCGCGUAGGCGGCCACCGCAAGUCGACUGUGAAAUCUCCGGGCUUAACCCGGAAAGGUCAGCCGAUACUGCGGGGCUAGAGUGCAGAAGGGGUAACUGGAAUUCUCGGUGUAGCGGUGAAAUGCGUAGAUAUCGAGAGGAACACCUGCGGCGAAGGCAGGUUGCUGGGCUGACACUGACGCUGAGGCGCGAAAGCUAGGGGAGCGAACGGG
RNAcentral lists this ribosomal RNA (254 nucleotides) under uncultured bacterium. RNAcentral describes it as "partial 16S ribosomal RNA". It matches the Rfam family "Bacterial small subunit ribosomal RNA", at positions 524 to 776 of the family's 1533-position model. The record is from RNAcentral.